RNAcentral lists this ribosomal RNA (253 nucleotides) under uncultured bacterium. Its description in RNAcentral is "partial 16S ribosomal RNA". It matches the Rfam family "Bacterial small subunit ribosomal RNA", at positions 524 to 776 of the family's 1533-position model. The record is from RNAcentral.
UACGUAGGUGGCAAGCGUUGUCUGGAAUUAUUGGGCGUAAAGCGCGCGCAGGCGGUCCUUUAAGUCUGAUGUGAAAGCCCACGGCUCAACCGUGGAGGGUCAUUGGAAACUGGGGGACUUGAGUACAGAAGAGGAAAGUGGAAUUCCACGUGUAGCGGUGAAAUGCGUAGAGAUGUGGAGGAACACCAGUGGCGAAGGCGACUUUCUGGUCUGUAACUGACGCUGAGGCGCGAAAGCGUGGGGAGCAAACAGG